GAUGAACGCUGGCGGCGUGCCUAAUACAUGCAAGUCGAGCGAACAGAUGAGGAGCUUGCUCCUCUGACGUUAGCGGCGGACGGGUGAGUAACACGUGGAUAACCUACUUAUAAGACUGGGAUAACUUCGGGAAACCGGAGCUAAUACCGGAUAAUAUAUUGAACCGCAUGGUUCAAUAGUGAAAGACGGUUUUGCUGUCACUUAUAGAUGGAUCAGCGCCGCAUUAGCUAGUUGGUAAGGUAACGGCUUACCAAGGCAACGAUGCGUAGCCGAGCUGAGAGGGUGAUCGGCCACACUGGAACUGAGACACGGUCCAGACCCCUACGGGAGGCAGCAGUAGGGAAUCUUCAGCAAUGGGCGCAAGCCUGACGGAGCAACGCCGCGUGCGUGAUGAAGGUCCUCGGAUCGUAAAACUCUGUUAUUAGGGAAGAACAAAGGUGUAAGUAACUAUGCACGUCUUGACGGUACCUAAUCAGAAAGCCACGGCUAACUACUUG
This 497-nucleotide ribosomal RNA is filed under the name uncultured bacterium. RNAcentral describes it as "partial 16S ribosomal RNA". It matches the Rfam family "Bacterial small subunit ribosomal RNA", at positions 28 to 507 of the family's 1533-position model. The record is from RNAcentral.